GGGGCGCUCGCACGUGGAGCGCGCUUCGGGAUGAGGCGGGACGGGCGAGUCUUAGACCCUGUACCAGCUUGAAUGACCUCUGAACUUUCACUUCACUGGGACCACAUUUGGGCUCCUGAAGAAGAGAAGCACUAGAAAGUUUGCCAGCAGAAAGAAGGGAAGAUGGAAAGCACAGUGUAAGGAUCACACAGCACAGCCACAAACCUGAGGCCCACAGAUAGAAGGCACCCACAGGAAUUUGGUCUCAAUGUGCUAAAGCUCUGAUGAAGCACCCAGUGACUGCUGGCUCCCAUGUCCUAUUUUGGAAGGCUGAGUGCUGCCUUCCUCCCCAACACUCCCCUAUUGCUGGGGCAAUGCUUUCUACAAGCUGACCUCAGCAUACAGCCGAAUAAAAAUACUGGUAUUAGA
This is a long non-coding RNA of Tympanuchus pallidicinctus (lesser prairie-chicken), 408 nucleotides long. RefSeq lists it as uncharacterized. The transcript has 3 exons. NCBI's taxonomy places the organism in Eukaryota, Metazoa, Chordata, Aves, Galliformes, Phasianidae. The record is from RefSeq and is a predicted model, not a curated record.